RNAcentral lists this ribosomal RNA (504 nucleotides) under uncultured bacterium. RNAcentral's name for it is "bacterial SSU rRNA". It matches the Rfam family "Bacterial small subunit ribosomal RNA", at positions 42 to 568 of the family's 1533-position model. The record is from RNAcentral.
GCGUGCCUAAGAAAUGAAGUCGAGCGAGAGUAGCAAUACUCUAGCGGCGAACGGUCGCGUAACACGUAGGCAACCUGCCCGAAAGACCGGGACAACACUUCGAAAGAGGUGCUAAUACCGGAUGCGGCCACUAGGAGGCAUCUUCUGGUGUCUAAACCCCGCAAGGGGCUUUCGGAGGGGCCUGCGGCCUAUCAGCUAGAUGGCGGGGUGAUGGCCCACCAUGGCGACGACGGGUAGCUGGUCUGAGAGGAUGGUCAGCCGGACUGGGACUGAGAUACGGCCCAGACUCCUACGGGGGGCAGCAAUUAGGAAUCUUGCGCAAUGGGCGAAAGCCUGACGCAGCGACGCCGCGUGGGGGAGGAAGUCUUUCGGGAUGUAAACCCCUUUUGAACGGGAAGAAACAAAUGACGGUACCGUUCGAAUAAGCCCCGGCUAACUACGUGCCAGCAGCCGCGGUAAUACGUAUGGGGCGAGCGUUGUCCGAAGUUACUGGGCGUAAAGCGC